RNAcentral lists this ribosomal RNA (304 nucleotides) under uncultured bacterium. RNAcentral's name for it is "partial 16S ribosomal RNA". It matches the Rfam family "Bacterial small subunit ribosomal RNA", at positions 509 to 808 of the family's 1533-position model. The record is from RNAcentral.
CAGCAGUCGCCGCGGGAAUACAGAGGGUGCGAGCGUUAAUCGGAUUUACUGGGCGUAAAGCGUGCGUAGGCGGCUUCUUAAGUCGGAUGUGAAAUCCCUGAGCUUAACUUAGGAAUUGCAUUCGAUACUGGGAAGCUAGAGUAUGGGAGAGGAUGGUAGAAUUCCAGGUGUAGCGGUGAAAUGCGUAGAGAUCUGGAGGAAUACCGAUGGCGAAGGCAGCCAUCUGGCCUAAUACUGACGCUGAGGUACGAAAGCAUGGGGAGCAAACAGGAUUAGAUACCCCAGUAGUCCCUGUCUCUAUACA